Molecule: transfer RNA, 61 nt
Filed under: Malaxella flava
Lineage: Eukaryota; Metazoa; Arthropoda; Insecta; Hemiptera; Delphacidae
Description: tRNA-Arg
Source: RNAcentral
AGCAAAGAAGUAAUAUUUACAAUUAAUUUCGACUUAAUUAUUAGAGUUAUCCUCCAUGCUU